Molecule: ribosomal RNA, 440 nt
Filed under: uncultured bacterium
Lineage: Bacteria
Description: partial 16S ribosomal RNA
Rfam family: Bacterial small subunit ribosomal RNA
Source: RNAcentral
CCUACGGGAGGCUGCAGUGGGGAAUAUUGCACAAUGGGGGAAACCCUGAUGCAGCGACGCCGCGUGAGUGAAGAAGUAUUUCGGUAUGUAAAGCUCUAUCAGCAGGGAAGAAAAAAGACGGUACCUGACUAAGAAGCCCCGGCUAACUACGUGCCAGCAGCCGCGGUAAUACGUAGGGGGCAAGCGUUAUCCGGAUUUACUGGGUGUAAAGGGAGCGUAGACGGCGCGGCAAGUCUGAAGUGAAAGGCAGGGCUUAACCCCUGAACUGCUUUGGAAACUGCCAUGCUAGAGUGCUGGAGAGGUAAGUGGAAUUCCUAGUGUAGCGGUGAAAUGCGUAGAUAUUAGGAGGAACACCAGUGGCGAAGGCGGCUUACUGGACAGUAACUGACGUUGAGGCUCGAAAGCGUGGGGAGCAAACAGGAUUAGAUACCCGGGUAGUC